This 954-nucleotide unclassified non-coding RNA is filed under the name Hevea brasiliensis (rubber tree). Lineage: Eukaryota; Viridiplantae; Streptophyta; Magnoliopsida; Malpighiales; Euphorbiaceae. The record is from RNAcentral.
AGAGAGAGAGAGAGAGAGAUUGUGCUCAAUGAUAAAGGACACUUUACACUUUACACUUGUGUGCAGACAAGAGAAGAUAGGCCUCUAAAUUUUUAUUAUUGAAAUGGAACAAAGAGAGAUGGACCUGUCACAUUAAGGAAAAGAGAGCCCAAGGAUCUCUUAUUACUAGGCAUAGUGUAUGUUAACAUACAAUAAAAUGACUGUGAAGGACCAAGACUUCAAACAAUUCUGUGACACAAGAAGAAAGGACCACGCUGCUAGCCAGUGAACUCAUGAUGAUUUGUUUACAAAAAGCUAAGAACUCAUGUAACAUUUGGGAUCACAAGAGAUUUCAUUCCAUCCCAUUCAGAAUGCAGUUUAUGUGAUGGAUAUAACAUUAGCACACCUAAUAUGUGCACCAAAUUGCCCACAAUAAUACAUGGUACAAUAAAUUCUGUAGCAAAAAAUGCAGUAGGUUAGACUUGUAUCUCACAUGAAUUGAUCAUCACAACUAGCUUAAAAAAAACAUUGCAAGGAUAGAGGACUAUUUGACUCAAGUGAUAAAAGUAAUUGCUAAACUUGUAUUCAAGAAGCUGGAGCCAGUACUACAAAGUCCUAUAUGCCUAUAGUCCCAAUACUUAGAAAAGGACAGUUUGAGUUAGUCAAGAGUUUGUCACGCCUAUAGCUUUUACAUAUAGGCAUGGGAUCUUGAGUAGUAAUUUCACGCCAAUAAUUCUACACAUGAUGUUAAAAUACCCAUGCUGCAUCUAGAAUAUAUAAAGGGUGAAAGUUCCUCAAUCAGCAUAGGAUGUAUUUGGGAAUUUAGGGAUUUGGCAAAAAUUAAAAUGGUAAGAAUGCAGACUACAUGCACCUGGACAAAAACAAGAUUCUGCUCCACUACUCAGAGAAAAUCCCAUUAUUGCAUUCCACAAUUAAUGUCUUUAAUCCAAAUUGCAAAAAAUAAAAUAAAAUAAA